CUCCAGGAGAGGAAGGGCUCUGCCAGAGGAGAGAGGAGAGCGCUGGAGAGGACAGGCUGGAGAGUCCUUAGCCAGGAUGGAGGCUGUUGUGAACUUGUACCAAGAGAUGAUGAAGCACGCAGAUCCCCGGAUCCAGGGCUACCCUCUGAUGGGGUCCCCUUUGCUAAUGACCUCCAUCCUCCUGACCUACGUGUACUUCGUUCUCUCACUUGGGCCUCGCAUCAUGGCUAAUCGGAAGCCCUUCCAGCUCCGUGGCUUCAUGAUUGUCUACAACUUCUCACUGGUGGCACUCUCCCUCUACAUUGUCUAUGAGAGAGGUUCAGAUCCAUGUCCUCAGCUAGCGAAGGGGAGGGAUGGCUGGGAAGGGAGAACUCUGGUGGUCUAAUCCACAUCCCUUCCUAGUUCCUGAUGUCGGGCUGGCUGAGCACCUAUACCUGGCGCUGUGACCCUGUGGACUAUUCCAACAGCCCUGAGGCACUUAGGAUGGUUCGGGUGGCCUGGCUCUUCCUCUUCUCCAAGUUCAUUGAGCUGAUGGACACAGUGAUCUUUAUUCUCCGAAAGAAAGAUGGGCAGGUGACCUUCCUACAUGUCUUCCAUCACUCUGUGCUUCCCUGGAGCUGGUGGUGGGGGGUAAAGAUUGCCCCGG
RNAcentral lists this small RNA (646 nucleotides) under Pongo abelii (Sumatran orangutan). Its description in RNAcentral is "processed transcript". The record is from RNAcentral. Lineage: Eukaryota; Metazoa; Chordata; Mammalia; Primates; Hominidae.